GAUGAAGAACGUAGCAAAAUGCGAUAAGUAAUGUGAAUUGCAGAAUUCAGUGAAUCAUCGAAUCUUUGAACGCACAUUGCGCCCGCCAGUAUUCUGGCGGGCAUGCCUGUUCGAGCGUCAUUUCAACCCUCAAGCCCUCGGGUUUGGUGUUGGGGAUCGGCGAGCCUUUCUGGCAAGCCGGCCCCGAAAUCUAGUGGCGGUCUCGCUGCAGCCUCCAUUGCGUAGUAGUAAAACCCUCGCAACUGGAGCGCGGCGCGGCCAAGCCGUUAAACCCCCAACUUCUGAAUGUUGACCUCGGAUCAGGUAGGAAUACCCGCUGAACUUAAGCAUAUCAAUAAGCGGAGGA
This 346-nucleotide unclassified non-coding RNA is filed under the name soil metagenome. Its description in RNAcentral is "partial contains 5.8S ribosomal RNA, internal transcribed spacer 2, and large subunit ribosomal RNA". The stretch from base 1 to 120 matches the Rfam family "5.8S ribosomal RNA", at positions 35 to 154 of the family's 154-position model. The record is from RNAcentral.